RNAcentral lists this unclassified non-coding RNA (141 nucleotides) under uncultured Ascomycota. RNAcentral describes it as "sequence contains ITS1". The record is from RNAcentral. Lineage: Eukaryota; Fungi; Ascomycota.
CCGAGUACUAUAACUCAUAACCCUUUGUGAACCUUUAUACCUGUUGCUUCGGCGGCGCGCCCCCCGGGGCGUGCCCGCCGGUAUCAUCAGAAUCUCUGUUUGAACCCGACGAUACAUCUGAGUGUUCUAAGCGAACUGUUA